CCUACGGGUGGCAGCAGUAGGGAAUCUUUCACAAUGGGCGAAAGCCUGAUGGAGCAACGCCGCGUGCAGGAUGACGGCCUUCGGGUUGUAAACUGCCUUUAUAAGCGAGAAAUAUGAUGGUAACUUAUGAAUAAGGAUCGGCUAACUACGUGCCAGCAGCCGCGGUCAUACGUAGGAUCCGAGCAUUAUCCGGGGUGACUGGGUGUAAAGAGUUGCGUAGGUGGCAUAAUAAGUAGCUAGUGGAAUCUUGUGGCUCAACCAUUCAGACUAUUAGCUAAACUGUUAAGCUCGAGACCGUUAGGGGUAACUGGAAUGUCUAGUGUAGGAGUGAAAUCCGUAGAUAUCAGAAGGAACACCGAUAGCGUAGGCAGGUUGCUGGGACGGUUCUGACACUGAGGCACGAAAGCGUAGGGAGCAAACGGGAUUAGAUACCCGAGUAGUC
RNAcentral lists this ribosomal RNA (442 nucleotides) under uncultured bacterium. RNAcentral's name for it is "partial 16S ribosomal RNA". It matches the Rfam family "Bacterial small subunit ribosomal RNA", at positions 338 to 795 of the family's 1533-position model. The record is from RNAcentral.